RNAcentral lists this ribosomal RNA (346 nucleotides) under uncultured bacterium. Its description in RNAcentral is "partial 16S ribosomal RNA". It matches the Rfam family "Bacterial small subunit ribosomal RNA", at positions 338 to 681 of the family's 1533-position model. The record is from RNAcentral.
CCUACGGGAGGCAGCAGUGAGGAAUAGUGGACAAUGGCCGGAAGGCUGAACCAGCCAAGUCGCGUGAAGGAAGAAGGAGCUAUGGUAUGUAAACUUCGAUUAUAGGGGAAUAAAGGUAGCCACGUGAGGAGAUUUGCAUGUACCCUAUGAAUAAGCAUCGGCGAACUCCGUGCCAGCAGCCGCGGUAAUACGGAGGAUGCGAGCGUUAUCCGGAUUUAUUGGGUUUAAAGGGUGCGUAGGUUGUUUUUUAAGUCAGCGGUGAAAGUUUGUGGCUCAACCAUAAAAUUGCCGUUGAAACUGGCAGCCUUGCUUGUGUUUGAGGUAGGCGGCAUUCGUUGUGUAGCGG